Molecule: ribosomal RNA, 465 nt
Filed under: uncultured bacterium
Lineage: Bacteria
Description: partial 16S ribosomal RNA
Rfam family: Bacterial small subunit ribosomal RNA
Source: RNAcentral
CUACGGGCUGCAGCAGUAGGGAAUCUUCGGCAAUGGACGGAAGUCUGACCGAGCAACGCCGCGUGAGUGAAGAAGGUUUUCGGAUCGUAAAGCUCUGUCGUAAGAGAAGAACGAGUGUGAGAGUGGAAAGUUCACACUGUGACGGUAUCUUACCAGAAAGGGACGGCUAACUACGGUGCCAGCAGCCGCGGUAAUACGUAGGUCCCGAGCGUUGUCCGGAUUUAUUGGGCGUAAAGCGAGCGCAGGCGGUUAGAUAAGUCUGAAGUUAAAAGCUGUGGCUUAACCAUGGUACGCUUUGGAAACUGUUUAACUUGAGUGCAGAAGGGGAGAGUGGAAUUCCAUGUGUAGCGGUGAAAUGCGUAGAUAUAUGGAGGAACACCGGUGGCGAAAGCGGCUCUCUGGUCUGUAACUGACGCUGAGGCUCGAAAGCGUGGGGAGCAAACAGGAUUAGAUACCCCAGUAGUC